ACACUGAAGGGAGGUGAUCCUGAGUUGAGUACCGUCAGGAUGCGUGAGGUGGCUGCUCGCUAGAGCCGCCCCUGCCUGCGCAGGGUGAGGCCCCAGGCCUCCGGCAGGCGAAAUCCACAGCAGUCACCCGGCCCGCGGGCUCACCGGUACAUCCCCGGUGCCUCGGCGCCUGGCCAGUGCACGGGCCGGCGUAGAGGAGCAGCCCGCGGGUCGUCUGCG
This 219-nucleotide small RNA is filed under the name Streptomyces sp. CB02056. RNAcentral describes it as "Actinobacteria sRNA Ms_IGR-5". The stretch from base 1 to 194 matches the Rfam family "Actinobacteria sRNA Ms_IGR-5". The record is from Rfam by way of RNAcentral. Lineage: Bacteria; Bacillati; Actinomycetota; Actinomycetes; Kitasatosporales; Streptomycetaceae.